Molecule: ribosomal RNA, 1372 nt
Filed under: uncultured bacterium
Lineage: Bacteria
Description: bacterial SSU rRNA
Rfam family: Bacterial small subunit ribosomal RNA
Source: RNAcentral
GAUGAACGCUGGCGGCGUGCCUAAUACAUGCAAGUCGAGCGAACGGACGAGAAGCUUGCUUUUCUGAUGUUAGCGGCGGACGGGUGAGUAACACGUGGAUAACCUACCUAUAAGACUGGGAUAACUUCGGGAAACCGGAGCUAAUACCGGAUAAUAUUUCGAACCGCAUGGUUCAAAAGUGAAAGACGGUCUUGCUGUCACUUAUAGAUGGAUCCGCGCUGCAUUAGCUAGUUGGUAAGGUAACGGCUUACCAAGGCAACGAUGCAUAGCCGACCUGAGAGGGUGAUCGGCCACACUGGAACUGAGACACGGUCCAGACUCCUACGGGAGGCAGCAGUAGGGAAUCUUCCGCAAUGGGCGAAAGCCUGACGGAGCAACGCCGCGUGAGUGAUGAAGGUCUUCGGAUCGUAAAACUCUGUUAUUAGGGAAGAACAUAUGUGUAAGUAACUGUGCACAUCUUGACGGUACCUAAUCAGAAAGCCACGGCUAACUACGUGCCAGCAGCCGCGGUAAUACGUAGGUGGCAAGCGUUAUCCGGAAUUAUUGGGCGUAAAGCGCGCGUAGGCGGUUUUUUAAGUCUGAUGUGAAAGCCCACGGCUCAACCGUGGAAGGUCAUUGGAAACUGGAAAACUUGAGUGCAGAAGAGGAAAGUGGAAUUCCAUGUGUAGCGGUGAAAUGCGCAGAGAUGUGGAGGAACACCAGUGGCGAAGGCGACUUUCUGGUCUGUAACUGACGCUGAUGUGCGAAAGCGUGGGGAUCAAACAGGAUUAGAUACCCUGGUAGUCCACGCCGUAAACGAUGAGUGCUAAGUGUUAGGGGGUUUCCGCCCCUUAGUGCUGCAGCUAACGCAUUAAGCACUCCGCCUGGGGAGUACGACCGCAAGGUUGAAACUCAAAGGAAUUGACGGGGGCCCGCACAAGCGGUGGAGCAUGUGGUUUAAUUCGAAGCAACGCGAAGAACCUUACCAAAUCUUGACAUCCUUUGACAACUCUAGAGAUAGAGCCUUCCCCUUCGGGGGACAAAGUGACAGGUGGUGCAUGGUUGUCGUCAGCUCGUGUCGUGAGAUGUUGGGUUAAGUCCCGCAACGAGCGCAACCCUUAAGCUUAGUUGCCAUCAUUAAGUUGGGCACUCUAAGUUGACUGCCGGUGACAAACCGGAGGAAGGUGGGGAUGACGUCAAAUCAUCAUGCCCCUUAUGAUUUGGGCUACACACGUGCUACAAUGGACAAUACAAAGGGCAGCGAAACCGCGAGGUCAAGCAAAUCCCAUAAAGUUGUUCUCAGUUCGGAUUGUAGUCUGCAACUCGACUACAUGAAGCUGGAAUCGCUAGUAAUCGUAGAUCGGCAUGCUACGGUGAAUACGUUCCCGGGUCU